This 541-nucleotide small RNA is filed under the name Curvularia spicifera. RNAcentral describes it as "eukaryotic LSU rRNA". The stretch from base 139 to 292 matches the Rfam family "5.8S ribosomal RNA". Lineage: Eukaryota; Fungi; Ascomycota; Dothideomycetes; Pleosporales; Pleosporaceae. The record is from RNAcentral.
GCGGCUGGACUAUUUAUUACCCUUGUCUUUUGCGCACUUGUUGUUUCCUGGGCGGGUUCGCUCGCCACCAGGACCACAAUAUAAACCUUUUUUAUGCAGUUGCAAUCAGCGUCAGUAUAACAAAUGUAAAUCAUUUACAACUUUCAACAACGGAUCUCUUGGUUCUGGCAUCGAUGAAGAACGCAGCGAAAUGCGAUACGUAGUGUGAAUUGCAGAAUUCAGUGAAUCAUCGAAUCUUUGAACGCACAUUGCGCCCUUUGGUAUUCCAAAGGGCAUGCCUGUUCGAGCGUCAUUUGUACCCUCAAGCUUUGCUUGGUGUUGGGCGUUUUUGUCUUUGGCCCGCCAAAGACUCGCCUUAAAAUGAUUGGCAGCCGGCCUACUGGUUUCGCAGCGCAGCACAUUUUUGCGCUUGCAAUCAGCAAAAGAGGACGGCAAUCCAUCAAGACUCCUUCUCACGUUUGACCUCGGAUCAGGUAGGGAUACCCGCUGAACUUAAGCAUAUCAAUAAGCGGAGGAAACAUAUCAAUAAGCGGAGGAGGAA